CCGCUCGCUCGGGCUCAGCGCAGACCCGCCCGGGCGCGCUCUUCCCGCCGGCUCCCGGCGUCCCGCCGCCCAGCCGGGAACUGGCCGGCGAUCCCCGCCACCCUUAAGGGUGCUGCCGACACCCAGCGCGGAGGCUAGCCGGCGGAGGUCUCUACGGGAGGCUAGACCGCUGGCGCGCGGCUCUCCUACUCGCAGGUCUUCCCUUGAUACAGUGGAUGGUGACUCUGCUCUUCUGCCCAAGAGUGGUUCAAAAUGGAAAGCACAGCUGAUCCUGCUGAAGCUACAGUAAAGUAAAAGCCGUUCAUCCGAUUGUUCGUCGUUCAUUCAAGAAGUUAUCACGUAUACAAAGGCACCAGGCAGAAAUGUCGGAGAAUACUAGAAGGACUCACUCUCUUGCUGCUUCAGGUACUUUACCGUCUAAUUCCCGAGACAGACUCUGAGAUAUAAUUGAUGACAAUGCAGGUCAUCACUAAUUGUUAAUACCAGACAGAAUAAAACAACAGGGCGUGAGAUUCUCCA
This 519-nucleotide long non-coding RNA is filed under the name Neogale vison (American mink). RNAcentral's name for it is "Neovison vison (American mink) lncRNA (ENSNVIG00000003840.1)". Lineage: Eukaryota; Metazoa; Chordata; Mammalia; Carnivora; Mustelidae. The record is from RNAcentral.